RNAcentral lists this long non-coding RNA (591 nucleotides) under Mytilus galloprovincialis (Mediterranean mussel). The record is from RNAcentral. Lineage: Eukaryota; Metazoa; Mollusca; Bivalvia; Mytilida; Mytilidae.
GCAAAAGCCAACUCCACAAAGUGAGCUAUAAAGGGCCAUAAAAUAAUCAUGAUAACCAAUUUAAGAUAAUUAAAACAAAAAAAAAACAAACUGAUAAAUAACUAGAAACUGGCACAUAUAUUAUGUGGCAGAUUGCAAGUCAAAUCCUAACCUGGGACAGUGAUGUAACAGUACAGCAUGAUAUAAGAACCCGCUUAACUCAUCAGAUCAAUGAAUAUCUAACACAUACAUGUAGACCAGCAAGAUAACAUGAAAUUGUAUCACAAGGUUCCAUACCACAAAAGGAAGGUUGAGAUAAAUUCCCCCCCACCCCCUUCCUGUUUGAUAAAUUGUAAACGGUUGAGAUCCCCACCCCUAAACCAUAUAUAUUAUUGUAGGGGACAAUAAAACAAAUCAAAUGAAAUAUAGGGGGGGGUCACCCCCACCCCUUCCUGUUUGAUAACUUGUAAACGGUUGAGAUCCCCACCCCUAAACCAUAUAUAUUCUUGUAGGGGACAAUAAAACAAAUCAAAUGAAAUAUAGGGGGAGUCCCCGGAGUCACCCCCACCCCUUCCUGUUUGAUAACUUGUAAACGGUUGAGAUCCCCACCCC